RNAcentral lists this non-coding RNA (157 nucleotides) under Humitalea rosea. Its description in RNAcentral is "Acetobacteraceae bacterium W37 6S / SsrS RNA". It matches the Rfam family "6S / SsrS RNA". From Rfam's summary of the family: E. coli 6S RNA was the first non coding RNA to be sequenced, but its function was unknown until recently. The record is from Rfam by way of RNAcentral. Lineage: Bacteria; Pseudomonadati; Pseudomonadota; Alphaproteobacteria; Acetobacterales; Roseomonadaceae.
GCGGGGCUGCUCGGUUUGUUGAGGCAGCUACAUCCCCGGGGCCAAUGAGCAACCUCCGGGAGCUGGCGCUGCUUGGAUCCUGGUCCAAGUACCUGGCGCCCACCUGCAACAGCAGGUCCAUGGAGGAUGUCACGCCGACGGCUAUGGCGGCUCCGCA